Molecule: unclassified non-coding RNA, 253 nt
Filed under: uncultured Actinomycetes bacterium
Lineage: Bacteria; Bacillati; Actinomycetota; Actinomycetes
Description: uncultured actinobacterium contains 16S-23S intergenic spacer region
Rfam family: Bacterial small subunit ribosomal RNA
Source: RNAcentral
AACGUAGGGGGCGAGCGUUGCCCGGAUUCACUGGGCGUAAAGCGGGUGUAGGCGGUUCGUUAAGUCGGAUGUGAAAUCCCACGGCUCAACUGUGGAAUUGCAUCCGAUACUGGCGGACUUGAGGACGGUAGAGGCCGGUGGAAUUCCCGGUGUACCGGUGAAAUGGGCAGAUAUCGGGAGGAACACCAGUGGCGAAGGCGGCCGGCUGGGCCGUUCCUGACGCUGAGACCCGAAAGCCAGGGGAGCGAACCGG